Molecule: unclassified non-coding RNA, 107 nt
Filed under: Yersinia pestis Angola
Lineage: Bacteria; Pseudomonadati; Pseudomonadota; Gammaproteobacteria; Enterobacterales; Yersiniaceae
Also listed under: 3 other names
Description: gcvB RNA
Rfam family: GcvB RNA
About the family: The gcvB gene encodes a small untranslated RNA involved in expression of the dipeptide and oligopeptide transport systems in Escherichia coli. Included several unknown homologues in alignment (Bateman A pers obs).
Source: RNAcentral
CUUCCCCUAGCCGGAACGAAAAGUAGGUUUGGUAUCCCAGGUACUGAAAUGCUUUUGGCUUUGUGGUGGUGAUGUUGUGUUUGCAAAUGGUCUGGUAUGCCAGACAU